AGAGAGAGACAUGCGCGCAUAUCAAUAAGCGGAGGAAAAGAAACUAACAAGGAUUCCCUUAGUAACGGCGAGUGAAGCGGGAAGAGCUCAAAUUUGAAAUCUUCAAGGUUUUACCUUGACGAAUUGUAGUUUAAAGAAGUGUUUUCUGCUGAAGUUUUGGUAAAAGUUCUUUGGAAUAGGACAUCAUAGAGGGUGAGAAUCCCGUAUUUGACCAUUAUUUUCAGCUUUGUGAUACACUUUCAAAGAGUCGGAUUGUUUGGGAAUGCAGUCCAAAAUGGGUGGUAAAUUUCAUCUAAAGCUAAAUAUUGGCGAGAGACCGAUAGCGAACAAGUACCGUGAGGGAAAGAUGAAAAGAACUUUGAAAAGAGAGUUAAACAGUACGUGAAAUUGUCAAAAGGGAAGCGUUUGACACCAGUGUUGUUUUCUCGAAAAUCAAUUAAAAAAUGGCUAGAUUUUGUAUGUUGUAUUGACCUUUAUCAAGCUUCACUGCUACAUCUUUUCGUGUCUUUUUUAAUGCACUUUUCGUUUAACAAGUCAACAUCAGUUUCUUUUGUUGUAAAAGGGUCAUUGGAAGGUGGCUUUCUUUUCGGAGAAAGUGUUUAUAGCCUUUGGCCUCUGCAAUCGAAGAGACUGAGGUCUGCAGCGUAGACUCUUCGGGGUUAGAUACAUUUGUGCUAAGUUAUAGCUUUUUAUAGACAACUUGUUGACUAUAAUUAGUCUUGUAGCUUACUCGCUUAUGCUAUUUUACCUACGCUUAGGAUGUUGAAGUCAUCGUAUCGCGC
RNAcentral lists this ribosomal RNA (782 nucleotides) under uncultured Neocallimastigales. RNAcentral's name for it is "partial large subunit ribosomal RNA". It matches the Rfam family "Eukaryotic large subunit ribosomal RNA", at positions 23 to 645 of the family's 3401-position model. Lineage: Eukaryota; Fungi; Neocallimastigomycota; Neocallimastigomycetes; Neocallimastigales. The record is from RNAcentral.